AUUGAACGCUGGCGGCAGGCCUAACACAUGCAAGUCGAGCGGAUGAAGGGAGCUUGCUCCUGGAUUCAGCGGCGGACGGGUGAGUAAUGCCUAGGAAUCUGCCUGGUAGUGGGGGAUAACGUCCGGAAACGGGCGCUAAUACCGCAUACGUCCUGAGGGAGAAAGUGGGGGAUCUUCGGACCGCACGCUAGCAGAGGAGCCUAGGUCGGAUUAGCUAGUUGGUGGGGUAAAGGCCUACCAAGUCGACGAUCCGUAACUGGUCUGAGAGGAUGAUCAGUCACCCUGGAACUGAGACACGGUCCAGACUACUACGGGAGGCAGCAGUGGGGAAUAUUGGACAAUGGGCGAAAGCCUGAUCCAGCCAUGCCGCGUGUGUGAAGAAGGUCUUCGGAUUGUAAAGCACUUUAAGUUGGGAGGAAGGGCAGUAAGUUAAUACCUUGCUGUUUUGACGUUACCAACAGAAUAAGCACCGGCUAACUUCGUG
This 484-nucleotide ribosomal RNA is filed under the name uncultured bacterium. RNAcentral's name for it is "partial 16S ribosomal RNA". It matches the Rfam family "Bacterial small subunit ribosomal RNA", at positions 30 to 507 of the family's 1533-position model. The record is from RNAcentral.